UACGUAGGGUGCGAGCGUUGUCCGGAAUUACUGGGCGUAAAGAGCUCGUAGGUGGUUUGUCGCGUUGUUCGUGAAAACCUGAGGCUUAACCUCGGACUUGCGGUGGGUACGGGCAGACUAGAGUGUGGUAGGGGAGACUGGAAUUCCUGGUGUAGCGGUGAAAUGCGCAGAUAUCAGGAGGAACACCGAUGGCGAAGGCAGGUCUCUGGGCCACUACUGACGCUGAGAAGCGAAAGCAUGGGGAGCGAACAGG
Molecule: ribosomal RNA, 253 nt
Filed under: uncultured bacterium
Lineage: Bacteria
Description: partial 16S ribosomal RNA
Rfam family: Bacterial small subunit ribosomal RNA
Source: RNAcentral